UACGAAGGGGGCUAGCGUUGCUCGGAAUCACUGGGCGUAAAGCGCACGUAGGCGGAUUGCUAAGUCAGGGGUGAAAUCCUGGAGCUCAACUCCAGAACUGCCUUUGAUACUGAAAGUCUUGAGUAUGGGAGAGGUGAGUGGAACUGCGAGUGUAGAGGUGAAAAUUCGUAGAUAUUCGCAAGAACACCAGUGGCGAAGGCGGCUCACUGGCCCAUUACUGACGCUGAGGCACGAAAGCGUGGGGAGCAAACAGG
Molecule: ribosomal RNA, 254 nt
Filed under: uncultured bacterium
Lineage: Bacteria
Description: partial 16S ribosomal RNA
Rfam family: Bacterial small subunit ribosomal RNA
Source: RNAcentral